Molecule: long non-coding RNA, 394 nt
Filed under: Olea europaea subsp. europaea
Lineage: Eukaryota; Viridiplantae; Streptophyta; Magnoliopsida; Lamiales; Oleaceae
Source: RNAcentral
AUUGUAAAUGAUCACGAUCGAAUACAUUGACUUUACCUCUGAAGAAUGGACAAUUUCAGAAGAUGGCAAAUAUUGCAUGUUUGUCAAAAAAAUCCACACGUGGAUGACAUAUCCAGAUUUCUCAGGCUUUAACUACUUUGUAGGAGUCCGCUACCACAUCGACUACUUUGAAGCCACCACUAUGAUAUACUUAUUUUCGGAUAGUUUUCCUGGAGAAAUAAUGUGUUCAGGUGGCCUUUGAUGUAUAAAUUUUGGUACAAAUCGGUUAGUUAUCUUAGUAAGAUAUGGUGCUUAGGGCGACUUUUGCAUAGUGCCACUUUUGGUAGGAGAACUUUUGUAAUGUAACUUUUGUAUAUCUACUAGUCUUUAAUAUACUUUUUACAAUGUAACCAAG